GGCUCAGGAUGAACGCUAGCGGCAGGCCUAACACAUGCAAGUCGAGGGGCAGCGGGGAAAAGCUUGCUUUUCCGCCGGCGACCGGCGCACGGGUGCGCACCGCGUAUGGAACCUGCCUUGUACAGGGGAAUAGCCCAGGGAAACUUGGAUUAAUGCCCCGUAGUACCGUAUUUCGGCAUCGUUAUACGGUUAAAGCCUUCGGGCGGUACAAGAUGGCCAUGCGUCCCAUUAGCUUGUUGGUAAGGUAACGGCUUACCAAGGCUACGAUGGGUAGGGGCCCUGAGAGGGGGAUCCCCCACACUGGUACUGAGGACACGGACCAGACUCCUACGGGAGGCAGCAGUGAGGAAUAUUGGACAAUGGAGGAGACUCUGAUCCAGCCAUGCCGCGUGCAGGAAGAAUGCCCUAUGGGUAGUAAACUGCUUUUAUACGGGAAGAAAAAGAGCUACGUGUAGCUUACUGACGGUACCGUAAGAAUAAGGACCGGCUAACUCCGUGCCAGCAGCCGCGGUAAUACGGAGGGUCCGAGCGUUAUCCGGAAUUAUUGGGUUUAAAGGGUCCGUAGGCGGGCCGAUAAGUCAGGGGUGAAAGUCUGCCGCUCAACGGUAGAACUGCCUUUGAUACUGUCGGUCUUGAGUUAUAGUGAAGUUGCCGGAAUAUGUAGUGUAGCGGUGAAAUGCAUAGAUAUUACAUAGAACACCGAUUGCGAAGGCAGGUGACUAACUAUAUACUGACGCUGAUGGACGAAAGCGUGGGGAGCGAACAGGAUUAGAUACCCUGGUAGUCCACGCCGUAAACGAUGGAUACUAGCUGUCCGGAACCUUGAGUUCUGGGCGGCCAAGCGAAAGUGAUAAGUAUCCCACCUGGGGAGUACGUUCGCAAGAAUGAAACUCAAAGGAAUUGA
Molecule: ribosomal RNA, 904 nt
Filed under: marine metagenome
Description: bacterial SSU rRNA
Rfam family: Bacterial small subunit ribosomal RNA
Source: RNAcentral